This 1799-nucleotide long non-coding RNA is filed under the name Ananas comosus (pineapple). RNAcentral's name for it is "long non-coding RNA (ACOM_LNC021643)". The record is from RNAcentral. Lineage: Eukaryota; Viridiplantae; Streptophyta; Magnoliopsida; Poales; Bromeliaceae.
AGCAGCACUAACAAUUAUUAUUAUUAUUAUGAAAAACUUCGAAAACUCUCCCUAUGGUUUCGUAGUUUCUUACUUGACCCUCCUGUGGUUUAAAAUAUAUCAAUUUGCAUCCCCUCGUUUUUAUUUUUUCGGUAGCUUUUUCGUUAAUAUUUCAUUAAAUUAUAUACAAAAAAACUUCAGAUAUCCAUCUAGAUUUAUCAAAUAUUCACUUUAGUAUUCUUUAAUUUUAACUUUAUCACUGAUUUAAGAAAAUGAUGAUAGAAGGCUUGAAUUUAAGAUUAAAUGUGCUAAUCUUACUCUAAAUAGUGGAAAGAAAUUUCUAUAAAAAUUUCAUCAGAUUUGAAUUGUUUUACACCGUUUAAUUCACAAACGCAUCAUAUCUAAUAUUAAAAUUGUCAAUUUUGAGACAUUUUGAUAACUAGCCAAAUGAUGCCGAAAAAUUAUGAGAUUUAGUNACUAUCGGUAGCACGGAGACCUCCGUGCUACCAAGUUGUUUUCAAUGAUGCUGCUUCCAAAUCGACGAUCGGCUCCGUUAGAUUUGAUCUACACUAUUGAAAGUAUUUGGAAACUAAAUUUCAUAAUUUUUCGGCAUCAUUUACCUAUCAAACAAGUAGUCUAAAAAUGAACAGUUGAAAAAUAAAAAUUUCAUAAAAAAUGAUGAUAAAAGACUUGAAUUUAAGAUCAGAGAUAUUAAUCUUACUCUAAAUAGUUAAAAGAAUUUUCUAUAAAAAUUUCAUCAAAUUUGGAUUGUUUUACACCGUUAAAUUCACAAACGCAUCAAAUCUAUCAUUAAAAUUGUCAGUAUUGAGACAUUUUGAUCACUAGCCAAAUGAUGUCAAAAAAUUAUGAAAUUUAGUUUCCAAAUAUUUUCAAUAGUGUAGAUCAAGUCUAACGGAGCCGAUCGUUGAUUUGGAAGCAGCGUCAUUGAAAACAACUUGGUAGCACGGAGGUCUUCGUGCUACCGAUAGUAUACCAGCCUACCUCUCUCUCUCUCUCUCUCUAUAUAUAUAUAUAGGAGUCCGGCUAUUAUACUUUUAUGAGUACGAUCGUCUUCGUACUCAUAAGUCGUUUUCGAUAAUAGAGCUUCCAAAUCGACGAUCCAUACCGUUAAACAUUUUUUAGAGCAUUUAAAACUUCUAGAAAUUAAAUUCUAUAAUUUUUCGAUAUCAUUUACCUUACAAUCAAUAGCUCACAAAAUUGACAAUUUUUAACGGCCGGUAUGUGAUACUUACUAGUUUAACGGUGUAAAAGAAUCAGGAUAGCUUGAAUUUUUUAUAGAAAAUUCUAUUCAUUACCUAGAUAAAAAUUAAUAACCCCGAUCUUAAAUUGAAGGAUCCAAUCAUCCAUUUUUAGGACGUCUUUCAAUUUUGACCGUUCAUUUUACAUCCGCUUGAUGAACUUUAUAAUGAUUUUGAAAAGUUACGAAAUUUAUUUUCUAGAAGUUUCAAAUACUCUAGAUCAUGUUUAACGGUGUGGAUCGUCGAUUUGGAAGCCCGAACAUCGAAAAUAACUUAUGAGUACGAAGGGCUCUAUACUCAUAAGAGUCACUACAACAAUAUUGAUAUUUAGCAACAUUUUUCUAGCAACACUUAGGUAUACGUUACUAUUUAUUUUAUUUAGUAACACACAAAUGAAAGUGUUGCUGAAUAUAUAAAUUCACCAACAUUAUAUAAUAAAUGUUGCUAAAGGUUAUAAUUACCAGUAUAUAUUAUUAUAUGUCGCAAUAAAAAUUAAUAUUUAAAACUUAUAUACAAACAUAAUUAUAAAAUAAUUAUGAAAAUAACAAAAAUAUAAAAAAU